GACGUAGGGCGCGAGCGUUGUCCGGAUUUAUUGGGCGUAAAGAGCUCGUAGGCGGCUCGUUGCGUCGGCUGUGAAAACCCGCAGCUCAACUGUGGGCUUGCAGCCGAUACGGGCGGGCUGGGAUUCGGUAGGGGAGACUGGAAUUCCCCAAGUAGAGGUGAAAUUCGUAGAUAUGGGGAGGAACACCGGUGGCGAAGGCGGCCACCUGGACGGAUACUGACGCUGAGACGCGAAAGCGUGGGUAGCAAACAGG
Molecule: ribosomal RNA, 253 nt
Filed under: uncultured bacterium
Lineage: Bacteria
Description: partial 16S ribosomal RNA
Rfam family: Bacterial small subunit ribosomal RNA
Source: RNAcentral